RNAcentral lists this ribosomal RNA (498 nucleotides) under uncultured Paenibacillus sp. RNAcentral describes it as "partial 16S ribosomal RNA". Lineage: Bacteria; Bacillati; Bacillota; Bacilli; Caryophanales; Paenibacillaceae. The record is from RNAcentral.
CACGUAGUUAGCCGGGGCUUUCUUCUCAGGUACCGUCACUCCGAUAGCAGUUACUCUACCGGACGUUCUUCCCUGGCAACAGAGCUUUACGAUCCGAAAACCUUCAUCACUCACGCGGCGUUGCUCCGUCAGACUUUCGUCCAUUGCGGAAGAUUCCCUACUGCUGCCUCCCGUAGGAGUCUGGGCCGUGUCUCAGUCCCAGUGUGGCCGUUCACCCUCUCAGGUCGGCUACGCAUCGUCGCCUUGGUGAGCCGUUACCCCACCAACUAGCUAAUGCGCCGCAGGCCCAUCCAUGAGUGACAGAUUGCUCCGUCUUUCAUCACGCUCCCAUGCAGCAACGUGAAUUAUCCGGUAUUAGCUACCGUUUCCGGUAGUUAUCCCAGUCUUAUAGGCAGGUUACCUACGUGUUACUCACCCGUCCGCCGCUAACCAUCAGGAGAGCAAGCUCUCCAUCAAGUCCGCUCGACUUGCAUGUAUUAGGCACGCCGCCAGCGUUCG